AAGCAAAUCUACAUUAAUAGGAUUAAAGGGAGGAAAAACUGGGUAAUCAAUCCAGUUUUAGAAGAAAACCAUGUAUAAGAGUAAUUUGCAUUAAGAAAUGUUUACAUUUAUGUCAAAAAGCAAAAAUGUUCACAUUUACUUUAAUAAAUGAUGUAGUGAUGCAAAUUAAUUAAAAAAUUCUUAUCCAUACAACGUCUUGAAAAAUUAGUAUUCAUCAUACCUUAAAGACGUCAUAGUAUCAUAUAAUCCUACUACAGCAUUUCGCUCUGUGGCUAAAGGCUUCUGGUUCCUUGAGUUUUUGAAUGCAGAAUGGGAAGCAGAGUCUUAUUUUCCCGUGGAACCAGCUCUGAUUUUGGAUUCUGGUGAUAGACACCCACUCUGCUUUUAAGAUUAGGCUUAACACUUCACUUUUUGAAAAUGCUUAUAGUUAGGGUUUGGUCAGGUGACCCUGAACCAUCUCUUACUUAUGCUGGAAUAUGUUUUUCUGCAAUGGGACUUUGUGUGAUGCACUGAGAAUUUCUUCUCCACUCUGAUCUUCCUGCUCCACAUGUGUUCAUACACCACCAUGUAUCGUUAGAUUUUAUCUUCUCUUUCCCUCACACCUGUCCGCUCCUGGCACAUGGCUGCCUGAGCCUGGACUGUGCAAGAUUUCCUUCUGUUUCUUCUUGUUAAAAGUAAGUUUGUCCGUCCUACUGUUGCCAUGUGCUGGCUCACAGCAAGACUGAUUGUUGGGGUUUUACUCUUAUAGUGUCUUUACUUUACAAUUUAAACCUACUUAAGGAGACUGAUGUCAUAUCUGAGACUAACUUAAUUUUCUUAAUUAGGUGCAGGACACCCUGGGCAGUUUCAGGGGCAUUUCCAGUCAGAGGGGCUAAAGGGCUGUUUGCUAUGAGGUGAUUGUCUCCUGUAGGGGGGUCAAGCAUGGUAAAGGUCAUGCAGGUGGGGAGUUGUCAGAUGGCUGUCCACCCCUCACUGGGCCAAGGGGCUCUCGUGCCGCCUGUCAAAGCCUGUGGCGAAGCAGGGAGAAGAAAGGGUGUCUGGAGACGACGUGUGCCAUGCUGUCUUGGCCCCGCCCCUGGCUGCCGUGCCAGCAGUUCUAGGAGACUGACUGUGUAUCGGUGUAUCACCCGCAUCCAUCUCUCUAACCUCCAGCCCUGCCUUCCCUCAUCCCCACGAGAGGGAGCAGCAGAUCAAGAAAAGGGGAAAGAUUCGUGGAAGGAGGGAGGAAGCGAAAGAGAAGUGUUUCUGUGUCCCAAAGGAUUGGUCUCUGUCUGUCUAAAUCAGGAAGUGAGAAUGUGA
RNAcentral lists this long non-coding RNA (1299 nucleotides) under Oreochromis niloticus (Nile tilapia). Its description in RNAcentral is "lncRNA (ENSONIG00000031100.1)". Lineage: Eukaryota; Metazoa; Chordata; Actinopteri; Cichliformes; Cichlidae. The record is from RNAcentral.